GUUGAAUGGGUUUGAACUUGGGCAUGGGACACGGAUAAUGACCAGAAACCUCCUUUAUAUGGUUCUCUCAUCCUUUGUGCUCAAGGUAGGCUGCAUUGUGUAGUCUCUGAAACCCUUUGUGUGCCUUUCCAGGGCUGAGGGGAACCCAUAUGGAGAAUGCGUAUGACUUCUACAAACCAAAUUUGGCCUCGGAGUACCCAAUAGUGGAUGGGAAGCUUUCCAUCCAGUGCUACUUGCGGGCCUUGGAUCGAUGUUACACAUCAUACCGUAAAAAAAUCCAGAAUCAAUGGAAGCAAGCUGGCAGUGAUCGACCCUUCACCCUUGACGAUUUACAGUACAUGAUCUUUCAUACACCCUUUUGCAAGAUGGUCCAGAAGUCUCUGGCUCGCCUGAUGUUCAAUGACUUCGUGUCAGCCAGCAGUGACACACAAACCAGCUUAUAUAAGGGGCUGGAGGCUUUCGGGGGGCUAAAGCUGGAAGACACCUACACCAACAAGGACCUCGAUAAAGCCCUUCUAAAGGCCUCUCAGGACAUGUUCGACAAGAAAACCAAGGCCUCCCUUUACCUCUCCACUCACAAUGGGAACAUGUACACCUCAUCCCUGUACGGGUGCCUGGCCUCGCUUCUGUCCCA
This 634-nucleotide small RNA is filed under the name Pongo abelii (Sumatran orangutan). Its description in RNAcentral is "processed transcript". The record is from RNAcentral. Lineage: Eukaryota; Metazoa; Chordata; Mammalia; Primates; Hominidae.